CCGAAUGGGGAAACCCACGUGCAUAAGCACGUAUCAUUAACUGAAUACAUAGGUUAAUGAGGCGAACCGGGGGAACUGAAACACCUAAGUACCCCGAGGAAAAGAAAUCAACCGAGAUUCCGAAAGUAGCGGCGAGCGAAAUUGGACUAGCCCUUAAGCUUUAUAUGCGUUAGACGAACAGCCUGGAAAGGCCGGCGAUACAGGGUGAUAGCCCCGUAGUCGACAACGCACAUUCAGUGAAAUCGAGUAGGGCGGGACACGUGAUAUCCUGUCUGAAUAUGGGGGGACCAUCCUCCAAGGCUAAAUC
This 307-nucleotide ribosomal RNA is filed under the name uncultured bacterium. RNAcentral describes it as "bacterial LSU rRNA". It matches the Rfam family "Bacterial large subunit ribosomal RNA", at positions 114 to 471 of the family's 2925-position model. The record is from RNAcentral.